AGUGAAAACAAGUUACAAGCAUGUGCUCCUUACAUAGCUAAGGUCAACCCAUAUAUUUUAUUAGUGAAUAUAGUUUUUAAAUCCUUGGUGAAAAAUCACAGGAAGAAAAGGUGGAUAAUCUACCAACAAAGCAUCCAUCAGUGACAAGAAUCACUGUCAGUUAAUUUAAGGUAACAUAAGGUUACCUUAAAUUAUAAUUUCAUUUCUAUUAUUAUUAUUUUUCAGUCGUUUAUUUUCUACAUUUACAUUUAUAGCUGUAUAGCUGGUAUUUUUAGAUUUGUUUUUAUUGAUUUUUUUUUGCAAAUAUUGCUGCUAGGGAGUUGCUUCUAAUUUCGUUGAACAUCUGAUGUUUAGUGGUUAGCACUGUUCCCUCAAAGCAAGAAGGUCCUGACCAGGGCAUGCUCCAGCUUCCUCUUACAGUCUAAACACAUGCAGUUAGUAGGUUUAGGUUAAUUGGCUAAUGAUCUGAAAUGCUUGUAGAUGUGAUGUGCUGUUUGUCUCUCUGUGUUAGCAAUGCAACAAGCUGCUGACCUGUUCAUAUCCAGUGACCCUGAACAAGAUAAACAGUAAAAAUCGAUGGGUCGACAGUUAAGUUGUUAAGUUGUAGGAAGAAAAUUGCCAAGAGCAAACAUGGGAACUAGAGUGAAGUUUUAAAUUGUUAGUGAAAAAAAUAAAUAAAGAUAUGAACUCUGAAAACAAGAAAAAAAAUGGAAGAAAGAAUUUUAAAGAUAUGACUCAAACAGUUAAAAUAGUUUUGCUUUCUGUGGCUGUAUUUUGACUAAAGAUUAACCUACCGAUCAGUUUAGCAGAGUAAUAAAGCAAAGCUUUAUUAAAUUAUUUAUUAAUAUUAUCUACGCUGGGGAGCUGCUAAGAUGCUGCUGAAGAACAUAUGUCAAAUUAAUAAAGCCAAAAGUCAGAGUAUGAAUUUGUAGUGUAUGGAUCGUUAGCCAAAUUGGUAUUAUAGGGUGCAGUGGUAGUGCAAGAAAUACAGAAACUGAAUUGUUAAAUAUUAAGAACAACCAUAAAGCACCAGAUUUGGUCCAGGAACAUCACAGGCACAGGGAUUACAGCGAUUACAUUCAGAUUUUCACAGAUGGGUCUAAGGAGCCACAGACAGCAAC
This is a long non-coding RNA of Astatotilapia calliptera (eastern happy), 1121 nucleotides long. The record is from Ensembl. Lineage: Eukaryota; Metazoa; Chordata; Actinopteri; Cichliformes; Cichlidae.